AUUGACUCUCUUAUCAGACAAGAUUACCCGCCGAAUUUAAGCAUAUUACUANGCGGAGGAAA
This 62-nucleotide ribosomal RNA is filed under the name Klebsormidium dissectum. RNAcentral describes it as "partial 26S ribosomal RNA". The record is from RNAcentral. Lineage: Eukaryota; Viridiplantae; Streptophyta; Klebsormidiophyceae; Klebsormidiales; Klebsormidiaceae.